AAAGGCAAAACAGGGUUGGGGUAGAGUUAGGGGUAGGGUUAGUGGUUGAGGUAGGCUUAAGGCUAGGGGUUGGGGUAGGGUUAGUGGUUGGAGUAGGGUUAGGGGUAGGGUUAGGCUAGGGGUAGGGUAACCCUAACCCUACCCUAACCCUAUGCUAACCCUAACCAUACCCCUAACCUUACCAUAACCCUACUCCAAACCCUUACCCUGCUCCUAACUUAACCCUACCCCUAACCCUAACUCUACCCCUAACCCUACCCCUAACCCUACCCUAACACUACUUCUAACCUUGACCCUGCUCCUAACUCAACCCUUCCCCUAACCCUACCUCUAACCCUACCGCUAACCCUAUCACUAGCCC
This is a non-coding RNA of Pelobates cultripes (western spadefoot toad), 361 nucleotides long. The record is from the annotation of a GenBank genome assembly. NCBI's taxonomy places the organism in Eukaryota, Metazoa, Chordata, Amphibia, Anura, Pelobatidae.